This 244-nucleotide ribosomal RNA is filed under the name uncultured bacterium. RNAcentral describes it as "partial 16S ribosomal RNA". It matches the Rfam family "Bacterial small subunit ribosomal RNA", at positions 548 to 793 of the family's 1533-position model. The record is from RNAcentral.
GGAUUAUUGGCGUAAGAGAGUGCAGGCGGUUUUCUAAGUCUGAUGUGAAAGCCUUCGGCUUAACCGGAGAAGUGCAUCGGAAACUGGAUAACUUGAGUGCAGAAGAGGGUAGUGGAACUCCAUGUGUAGCGGUGGAAUGCGUAGAUAUAUGGAAGAACACCAGUGGCGAAGGCGGCUACCUGGUCUGCAACUGACGCUGAGACUCGAAAGCAUGGGUAGCGAACAAGAUUAGAUACCCUGGUAG